RNAcentral lists this ribosomal RNA (374 nucleotides) under uncultured bacterium. RNAcentral describes it as "bacterial SSU rRNA". It matches the Rfam family "Bacterial small subunit ribosomal RNA", at positions 524 to 898 of the family's 1533-position model. The record is from RNAcentral.
UACGAAGGGGGCUAGCGUUGUUCGGAAUUACUGGGCGUAAAGCGCACGUAGGCGGAUAUUUAAGUUAGGGGUGAAAUCCCAGGGCUCAACCCUGGAACUGCCUUUAAUACUGGGUAUCUAGAGUCCGAGAGAGGUGAGUGGAAUUCCGAGUGUAGAGGUGAAAUUCGUAGAUAUUCGGAGGAACACCAGUGGCGAAGGCGGCUCACUGGCUCGGUACUGACGCUGAGGUGCGAAAGCGUGGGGAGCAAACAGGAUUAGAUACCCUGUUAGUCCACGCCGUAAACGAUGGAAGCCAGCUGUCGGCAAGUUUACUUGUCGGUGGCGCAGCUAACGCAUUAAGCUUCCCGCCUGGGGAGUACGGUCGCAAGAUUAAA